RNAcentral lists this unclassified non-coding RNA (260 nucleotides) under Hevea brasiliensis (rubber tree). Lineage: Eukaryota; Viridiplantae; Streptophyta; Magnoliopsida; Malpighiales; Euphorbiaceae. The record is from RNAcentral.
GUUGAUAUGAUGCCUACCAGGCUUUGUUGCAAGGAAGGCCAAUAUUAUAGAGAUUAGAAACCCAUUCAAGCAAUCAUGAGCAUAGAUUGAACUCCUUUGCCGAGCCCACACCUUUAGCAGUAUCAAGGCUUCCCCCAAUUCUUUCCAUCCAGAGAAAGUUCUUUUGACAAACUCGGCAUUAUCCUCAAGAAACAAAUCCUCCAAUAUACUAUUAUUGUACCUUGGUGUUGCUUGUAAAGCAUCUCCUUGUUUGAGAGUAU